RNAcentral lists this transfer RNA (69 nucleotides) under Ictidomys tridecemlineatus (thirteen-lined ground squirrel). RNAcentral's name for it is "Spermophilus tridecemlineatus (thirteen-lined ground squirrel) tRNA". It matches the Rfam family "tRNA". Rfam says of the family: Transfer RNA (tRNA) molecules are approximately 80 nucleotides in length. Their secondary structure includes four short double-helical elements and three loops (D, anti-codon, and T loops). Lineage: Eukaryota; Metazoa; Chordata; Mammalia; Rodentia; Sciuridae. The record is from Rfam by way of RNAcentral.
GGGGUUGUAGCUCAGUGGUAGAGUGCUUGCCUGGCAUGCGCAAGGCACUGGGUUCGAUCCUCAGCACCA